ACACACAGGAAGUGAUGUCACCUACAGACAGGUGGUUUCUAGAUAGAAGCAAGUUUGCAGGAAGAAGAGAAGGAUAUCCUUGCAAUCGGCUGCAGAGAAGAUAUUGCCUCCUGUAAAGUCUACUGGCCAGGUGACCAAUAAGGUGCCUCCACCACUUUCCCUGACCAUUGAAAGAAACAAGAAGGUUCUUGAGGUCACCAAUAAGACCAUUGAACUGAUGACAGGAGAGGUUCCUAUAAGGUGUCAGGAUGUCACUGUCUAUUUCUCCAU
Molecule: long non-coding RNA, 270 nt
Organism: Rana temporaria (common frog)
Lineage: Eukaryota; Metazoa; Chordata; Amphibia; Anura; Ranidae
Exons: 3
Source: RefSeq, a predicted model, not a curated record